RNAcentral lists this ribosomal RNA (497 nucleotides) under uncultured bacterium. RNAcentral describes it as "partial 16S ribosomal RNA". It matches the Rfam family "Bacterial small subunit ribosomal RNA", at positions 28 to 507 of the family's 1533-position model. The record is from RNAcentral.
GAUGAACGCUGGCGGCGUGCCUAAUACAUGCAAGUCGAGCGAACAGACGAGGAGCUUGCUCCUCUGACGUUAGCGGCGGACGGGUGAGUAACACGUGGAUAACCUACCUAUAAGACUGGGAUAACUUCGGGAAACCGGAGCUAAUACCGGAUAAUAUAUUGAACCGCAUGGUUCAAUAGUGAAAGACGGUUUUGCUGUCACUUAUAGAUGGAUCCGCGCCGCAUUAGCUAGUUGGUAAGGUAACGGCUUACCAAGGCAACGAUGCGUAGCCGACCUGAGAGAGUGAUCGGCCACACUGGAACUGAGACACGGUCCAGACUCCUACGGGAGGCAGCAGUAGGGAAUCUUACGCAAUGGGCGAAAGCCUGACGGAGCAACGCCGCGUGAGUGAUGAAGGUCUUCGGAUCGUAAAACUCUGUUAUUAGGGAAGAACAAAUGUGUAAGUAACUAUGCACGUCUUGACGGUACCUAAUCAGAAAGCAACGGCUAACUACGUG